GAACGCACCUUGCGCCCUUUGGCUAUUCUGAAGGGCAUGCCUGUUUGAGUAUCAUGAACACCUCAACUCUCAUGGUUUGCCAUGAUGAGCUUGGACUUUGGGGGUCUUGCUGGCCUAUGGUCGGCUCCUCUCAAAUGAAUCAGCUUGCCAGUGUUUGGUGGCAUCACAGGUGUGAUAACUAUCUACGCUUGUGGUUUUCCACCAGGUAACCUUCAGUGAUGGAGGUUCGCUGGGGCUCACAAAUGUCUCUCCUCAGUGAGGACAGCUUUUUAAUGUUUGAUCUCAAAUCAGGUAGGACUACCCGCUGAACUUAAG
This 315-nucleotide unclassified non-coding RNA is filed under the name uncultured Thelephoraceae. RNAcentral describes it as "sequence contains 5.8S rRNA gene". The record is from RNAcentral. Lineage: Eukaryota; Fungi; Basidiomycota; Agaricomycetes; Thelephorales; Thelephoraceae.